This 512-nucleotide ribosomal RNA is filed under the name Protosphindus bellus. Its description in RNAcentral is "partial 16S ribosomal RNA". It matches the Rfam family "Bacterial large subunit ribosomal RNA", at positions 1825 to 2600 of the family's 2925-position model. The record is from RNAcentral. Lineage: Eukaryota; Metazoa; Arthropoda; Insecta; Coleoptera; Sphindidae.
GUCCUUUUGAAAAUAAUUUAAGGUCUAACCUGCCCACUGAGGAUUUAAAUGGCCGCGGUAUUUUGACCGUGCAAAGGUAGCAUAAUCAUUAGUUUUUUAAUUGAAAGCUGGAAUGAAAGGUUGGAUGAGAAAAUAGCUGUCUCUAUUUAAUUUAAUUAGAAUUUUAUUUUUAAGUUAAAAAGCUUAAAUUUAAUUAAAAGACGAGAAGACCCUAUAGAGUUUUAUAUUAUAAUUUUAAUAGAAUUUUUAGAAUUAAAUAUUAAUUAAUUAUUAUAAUAUUUGAUUGGGGUGAUUUAAAAAUUAAUUUAACUUUUUAUAAAUUUUUACAUUAAUAUAUGAUUAAUUGAUCCAUUAUUUAUGAUUAAAAGACAAAAUUACCUUAGGGAUAACAGCGUAAUUUUUUUAGAGAGUUCAAAUCGAAAAAAAAGAUUGCGACCUCGAUGUUGGAUUAAAAUUAAUUUUUGGUGUAGAAGCUAAAAAUCUUAGGUCUGUUCGACCUUUAAAAUUUUACA